Molecule: long non-coding RNA, 778 nt
Organism: Musa acuminata AAA Group (dessert banana)
Lineage: Eukaryota; Viridiplantae; Streptophyta; Magnoliopsida; Zingiberales; Musaceae
Exons: 3
Source: RefSeq, a predicted model, not a curated record
UCGGCGCCUAAUGCUUUGCAUCGGGAUUCGCACUCGCCCGCGAGGAGACAAAGUGUGGCUUCCCAUUCCCAUCCUGUUGGAUCGAAGAGUUGGUAGAUUGGGAAAACGUCGCCUCUCCGCCGCGGCCGAAGGGCAUGAGAUGGGCCAUGCGAGAGAGGCCCGCCCUUCUCGAGAUUGAAACCCAUACUGAUUUUGCCGAAGACUUCAAAACGGCUUUGGGUGUUAGAAGCGAUUUGAUGAUGAGGAAAGGGAAAAUUGCUGAGGAGGAGCUCUUGAAUCUCUGAAUAACAAAAACAGGCCUUUGUUCCUGAAUCUCUGAAUCCUUGCGUGAAUCCUUUGCGAGGGUUGAACUCAAAUUAAGGAUAUAUCAGCAACCAGCAUUGCUGUUUGAUGGACAAUGAGAAGUGCCUUUCAUGGCAUUACUUCAGCAACCAAAACACAUACUGCUACAGCAUUAGUUCCUAAAGGAUAGAAAGAAAUAGUUCGUAGUAUUACUUUAAAUAUAUCAACGGACCAACACUGUUGCUUAUGAUGGAUAGUGAGUAGUUCAUCAUAUUCCCUGAUCCUAAAGUUUGGCCUUCCUUUCCCUAUUUUUAUGUUACUUCUAAAAGAGUAGUUUUCUCCAUAUUUGCUCUACGAACAAAUUUUCUUUUUCACAAGUCUACCUCAGAUAUGGAAGAAAUGAUAUAAAUGCUAUUGACUGUAGAAGUUUGAGUUGGUAAGAAUUGUCAGUCCACUUAUGGUGUAGGGCUGAAUGACCAACAUGUAUUAGGAUUAA